Molecule: long non-coding RNA, 1430 nt
Filed under: Olea europaea (common olive)
Lineage: Eukaryota; Viridiplantae; Streptophyta; Magnoliopsida; Lamiales; Oleaceae
Description: long non-coding RNA (OEUR_LNC014665)
Source: RNAcentral
UUGAAUAUUAAAUAUACAAUUUUCAUCCAAAACCCUAAACAAUUUCCCCCUCCUUUCUCUUUCUAUAUCCUGCUUUUCCCCUUUCUCUCUCUUUAUCUUACGUCGUCGACGGCUGCACUCACAUGUCAGUGUCAGCGCAGCGCAGCGCAAACACAGUCUCUCCUCUCCUCUCCUAUAUCUAUAUCCACCUGCCGAUCGCAAGAGAUCCGUUCCCACCACCGCUCGUGCACACCUCCACCAAACCUUAAUCAAUUUCCCUCUCAUUUCUCUCUCUAUAUCUUACUCUCACCCUCGUCUCAUUCACUGAAUUGCAUUGGGAGCUGUAACGUCACCGUCAGGCUUCUCUUCAUCCACCGAUCGGAGCUACAGGGGUUUUGGAUCUAAUUUUGUGGUGGUUGUGGAGUGAUUUUGAGGUGUGUUUUGUUGGUAGUGGUGGUGAGGUUGCAAUGGUAAUUGUGGUGCCGAUUGGGCGACGUUGCUCGUGGCAUGAGCGCCGUUUUUAUAGUGGUCGAGGUGGGAAUGACUCUGGCUACUAUGUUGGAUUUUUAGCUGUAAGGGAUUUUUUAUGAUGUUUUGGUGUGAUCGUUGUGAUGUUGGCUGUAAUAAUGAGGUGGUGGUGAUGUUGGUGGUGGUUGCAUUAUGGUGCAGUGGUGAAGGUGUACGCGGGCAGUGGUGGGAACGGAGGUGUGGUGGGUGCGACGGAGAUGUGCUAUUGUGAUGCUACGAGUGCAAUGAUCAAGUGAGUGGUGUGGCGCUGUGCUAAGGAUGACAACGACUCGGGGCGGGGUGUCGUCCAAACCCCUUCUCGCUCCGCCUUAUACGGGGCGGGGCUAGAAGCUACUUUUUGCCCCGUUUAAUUUAUUUUUAUUUUUUUUACAUUUUCAAAAUUUCGAGUCAUGUUAUUAUUAGAGAAUAAAAUACAAAUUCAAAAUGAAUUUUUAACAAGGGAAUUGUCUAAAAAUAAAAUUAUUUUUAAUUUUUUUUUAUAUUUUUUUCCUUCACGGGGCGGGACAUCCCACCCCGCCUAGCCCCACCAACCUAUUCGGGGCGGGACGGAUUUUUUUGUCAUUAGUAUGCUGUGCGCGAUUGUAGUUGUUGUCGUGGUUGUGAUGGGUAGGGUGAGAUGAUGUGAUGGUUCUAAAGACGGUGAUUUUGGUAAUUUGAUAAUUUAUAAUUGUAUAAUAAGUUAUGACUUAUAAUAUUUAUAAUUUGUGAUCAAUAAAUAAAUCGUGAUUUAUAAAUUUUUUUAUUUGUGAUCGAUAAACAAACUGUGAUCUAUAAAAUUUUCGAAUUGUGAUCAUAAAAUAAUUUGUGACAUAAAAUUUCUAAUUUCUAAUUUAAUUAAUUUAUUAAUUAAAUAUAUUUAGGUCACAAAUCUAUUCAAUUUGUGACAUAAAAUUUCUAAUUUCUGACAAAAAAUAAUAAAUGGC